Sebastes umbrosus (honeycomb rockfish) is the source of this 888-nucleotide long non-coding RNA. RefSeq lists it as uncharacterized. The record is from RefSeq and is a predicted model, not a curated record. The transcript has 4 exons. Lineage: Eukaryota; Metazoa; Chordata; Actinopteri; Perciformes; Sebastidae.
CAGCUGUUCCUGGAGGAAGCAGCCCGUCGUCAGAGGAGAAGAUGACCUAACAUGGACAUUUGUGUCGCUGUGCGCUAAAACCCCAAAACAAGUUCCUGUUGUUUACAAUGAGAGCUGAAGACUGUCCAGCCUUCCUGCCGACCUACCACACGUUAACCAGAGAAACACCUGACAACUAGCUGACACGUGUAUUUGAAGUAAACAUGCAAUGGAAAAAUGAACGACAUAACAGUAAUACUAUACUUCCUGUAUCUGUGGUGGCCCUCAAUUUGCUGACAUCAUUCAGUGAAUACAGUCUCUGUAACUGAAGAAACACUCACUGUCUUGUGUCGGUGCGCAUACAUCAUUACACUGACCACAUGGGAACAGAUGACUUCUACAUUAACUCGUAAAAGAAGAAAUUAAAGUGGAACUAUGCUGUGACUGAUAUUCUCUGUUCUGCGCAGAGCCGCUGAAUGGAUAGCUUCUUGCUGUGGCUUCUCAAAGAAGAACAGGACAGCAGCAGGAUGCCAAUACCAGUGUAAAGGUGCAGAGCAGAAAGUGUGGACAGUCUCCAGUGAUGGAACAACAUCCAGUCAAAAUCUUCCCUAAUUCCUCUGGACAGUAGAUGUGCCCACAUUUCCCCUCCACCUUAUUUAUCUCUGACGUUUAUUCCCUUUGCAGCAUGUUGCUCUGUGUUGCUCUGUACUUGUUAUAAUGAUGACUUGUCCGAAAACUCCUUGUUGGGAAGUUGGAUAAUGUCUGACAGCAGACAAGUGCAGCAGUGGCUCAGAAGUGGCUAACAUCUACUUUUAUGUACUCAUCAUUUAUGUGGUAGAAAUGCAUUGUGGUCAGUACAGCAAAUUCAUCAAGUUAAUUAAAUAAAUGGUUGUUAAGAUCAUUAAAUGA